Molecule: long non-coding RNA, 207 nt
Filed under: Ananas comosus (pineapple)
Lineage: Eukaryota; Viridiplantae; Streptophyta; Magnoliopsida; Poales; Bromeliaceae
Description: long non-coding RNA (ACOM_LNC030505)
Source: RNAcentral
CUAGGAAUAUCGAUCGCUAGGGUUCCUUUAGGAUCAGUAGCGAUAGGGUCUCGUGAAGACAGGUGUUUGGCAUCGUUGGUGGUUUUGUUUGCGAGUUGCGAUUGGCAACCUGGUUCAGCAAGUGUUGGACUUGCAAGGGGUUUUGUUGGAUUGUUUGUACCUAAUUGGGAUAUCGAGUGGACAAAAUUGUCAAGCUCAAUUGGUAUU